CAAACUAAAGAUGGCGACCGGCGCACGGGUGAGUAACACGUAUCCAACCUGCCGAUAACUCGGGGAUAGCCUUUCGAAAGAAAGAUUAAUAUCCGAUAGUAUAUUAAAACCGCAUGGUUUUACUAUUAAAGAAUUUCGGUUAUCGAUGGGGAUGCGUUCCAUUAGUUUGUUGGCGGGGUAACGGCCCACCAAGACUACGAUGGAUAGGGGUUCUGAGAGGAAGGUCCCCCACAUUGGAACUGAGGCACGGUCCAA
Molecule: ribosomal RNA, 255 nt
Filed under: uncultured bacterium
Lineage: Bacteria
Description: partial 16S ribosomal RNA
Rfam family: Bacterial small subunit ribosomal RNA
Source: RNAcentral